AGGACGAACGCUGGCGGCGUGCUUAACACAUGCAAGUCGAGCGGAAAGGCCCUUCGGGGUACUCGAGCGGCGAACGGGUGAGUAACACGUGAGCAACCUGCCCUUAGCUCUGGGAUAGCUCCGGGAAAACCGGAAUUAAUACCGGAUAUGACGUCGGCCGACAUCGGCUGGUGUGGAAAGUUUUUCGGCUAGGGAUGGACUCGCGGCCUAUCAGCUUGUUGGUGGGGUAAUGGCCUACCAAGGCGACGACGGGUAGCCGGCCUGAGAGGACGACCAGUCACACUGGAACUGAGACACGGUCCAGACACCUACGGGUGGCAGCAGUCGAGAAUUUUUCUCAAUGGGGGCAACCCUGAAGGAGCGACGCCGCGUGGAGGAUGAAGGCUUUCGGGUUGUAAACUCCUGUCAUUUGAGAACAAGUGCCAACAAAUAACUACUGUUGGCUUGAUAGUAUCAGAAGAGGAAGGGACGGCUAACUCUGUGCCAGCAGCCGC
This 494-nucleotide ribosomal RNA is filed under the name uncultured bacterium. RNAcentral describes it as "SSU rRNA". It matches the Rfam family "Bacterial small subunit ribosomal RNA", at positions 26 to 518 of the family's 1533-position model. The record is from RNAcentral.